AAUUCUUGCAAUGUUUGAACCCUCAGGUGGACUAUAUUCUUGGAGACAACCCAAGUGCUACAAGUUAUAUGGUAGGCUAUGGAAACAACUACCCACAACAGGUUCAUCACAGAGCUUCCUCCACUGUCUCCUUCAAGGACAACCCUUCAUUUGUCAGUUGCCGUGGAGGCUAUGCCACAUGGUUUAGCAAGAAUGCAAGCGAUCCAAACCUCCUAACAGGUGCUCUUGUUGGUGGACCCGACGCUUAUUUAUGACAACUUUGCUGAUCAAAGAGACAACUAUGAGCAAACAAAGCCAGCUACCUACAACAAUGCUCAUCUUCUUGGCAUUUUAGCAAGACUACACGGUGGACAUAGCGGCUACAACCAGCUCCUUCCAGUGACCUUUCCAGCCCCUAAAACCCAGCCAAAGCUUGCUCCAGUUACCGGAACCACACCAUCUCAAGUUUCGUCUUCUGCACCCAUUGCCAUUGAACAAAAGAUGACAAGUUCAUGGGAUUACAAUGGCAAGACUUACUACAGAUACUCCACAACUGUGACAAACAAGUCACCCAAAACACUGAAAUUUCUCAACCUUUCAAUCUCCAAGCUCUACGGUCCUCUGUGGGGCCUGACAAAGUCGGGCGAUUCAUAUGUUUUUCCAGCAUGGCUCAACUCUCUAACAGCUGGGAAGAGCCUAGAGUUUGCUUACAUCCACUCUGCCUCUCAAGCUAAUGUCUCAGUCUCAAGCUACAAUUUGGCCUAAAAUUACGAAAAGAGGUGGCUGACACGGGUUUUUCUUGGGUUGUGAUGCG
This is a non-coding RNA of Camellia sinensis, 793 nucleotides long. NCBI's taxonomy places the organism in Eukaryota, Viridiplantae, Streptophyta, Magnoliopsida, Ericales, Theaceae. The record is from RefSeq and is a predicted model, not a curated record.